This 496-nucleotide ribosomal RNA is filed under the name uncultured bacterium. Its description in RNAcentral is "partial 16S ribosomal RNA". It matches the Rfam family "Bacterial small subunit ribosomal RNA", at positions 29 to 507 of the family's 1533-position model. The record is from RNAcentral.
AUGAACGCUGGUGGCGUGCCUAAUACAUGCAAGUCGAGCGAACAGACGAGGAGCUUGCUCCUCUGACGUUAGCGGCGGACGGGUGAGUAACACGUGGAUAACCUACCUAUAAGACUGGGAUAACUUCGGGAAACCGGAGCUAAUACCGGAUAAUAUAUUGAACCGCAUGGUUCAAUAGUGAAGGACGGUUUUGCUGUCACUUAUAGAUGGAUCCGCGCCGCAUUAGCUAGUUGGUAAGGUAACGGCUUACCAAGGCAACGAUGCGUAGCCGACCUGAGAGGGUGAUCGGCCACACUGGAACUGAGACACGGUCCAGACUCCUACGGGAGGCAGCAGUAGGGAAUCUUCCGCAAUGGGCGAAAGCCUGACGGAGCAACGCCGCGUGAGUGAUGAAGGUCUUCGGAUCGUAAAACUCUGUUAUUAGGGAAGAACAAAUGUGUAAGUAACUAUGCACGUCUUGACGGUACCUAAUCAGAAAGCCACGGCUAACUACGUG